GCCGCCUUAGCUCAGUUGGUAGAGCAGCAGACUGAAAAUCUGCGUGUCUGCGGUUCAAUUCCGCGAGGCGGCA
RNAcentral lists this transfer RNA (73 nucleotides) under Spirochaetaceae bacterium. Its description in RNAcentral is "tRNA-Phe". It matches the Rfam family "tRNA". From Rfam's summary of the family: Transfer RNA (tRNA) molecules are approximately 80 nucleotides in length. Their secondary structure includes four short double-helical elements and three loops (D, anti-codon, and T loops). The record is from RNAcentral. Lineage: Bacteria; Pseudomonadati; Spirochaetota; Spirochaetia; Spirochaetales; Spirochaetaceae.